This is a long non-coding RNA of Salvia miltiorrhiza (redroot sage), 498 nucleotides long. RefSeq lists it as uncharacterized. The record is from RefSeq and is a predicted model, not a curated record. NCBI's taxonomy places the organism in Eukaryota, Viridiplantae, Streptophyta, Magnoliopsida, Lamiales, Lamiaceae. The transcript is spliced from 3 exons.
UCAAACACUCUUAACUCACGUUGAUUUUCAGCCCACACACAACUCACACACACUAACACCUAAAACACACACACCAUUCACGCAUAUACCAUUUUUAGCUUGAGCUCAAGCUUUUGAGCUCCGAUUUGAGCACCGAGAUGAACGCCGAUCAUCUUUUCGAUCACGUAUCUAAGUAGGUCCUUUUGGGAAGUAACGACUUGAGGGAGAGAGUGACGUUACUCAUUGAUACAGAGACACAACGAGGUUGAGCUGAUGUGAUGAUGGUGCUGCAAUGAGCGGAGUCUCCAGGGUUGUUAAUAAAUAGUUAACCUGUCUAGAAUAUGUCUUCAUACAUAUGUCUAGCUACUUUCCGCUGCAAGAUGUUGUUGAUGUUAUAGUAUGUUAUGUCAUACUUUAAGUCUUAAGAGAAUGGUUUCAUACGAUGUAUAACUUGAUUAAUGAUAUUAAUUAAGUUUUAUGCUGUCUUUCAUAGACUGUUCUCAAUUGAGUAUUAAUGAA